AGAGGGCGGGUCGGUCGGCUCCAAAGAACCGGCUGCUUGGCAGCCUCCGGGCCGAGGUGGCAUCGCUGCCUUGCGGGGCAGAGCCAACAAACGGGACGCCCGAGUGGUGAGAGAGAGAGAGAGAGAGAGACGGGCCGAUGGGGAAGAAGAGGAGGAGGAGGAGGAGGAGGAGGCGUCCGAAAGCGAGCGGGAGAGGAAAAAAAGCGCAAGGCGAACGGGUUCAGCUCCAAGCACGUGGCCCCUGAGCACGUACAGAGGGCGGAGGAGGAAAAGAUGGCCAGGGAACGAAGAUGGACGAGAUGGAGAAAAGGGAGGAAAAUAAACUGCAGCCUAUAGGAGGAAGGAUAAAAGCUAUUUUGCAUCCUUAAUCACCAGCUUCUACAGAUAGAAGAAGUGAUGGGGAUGUCCUGUAAUAUACAGGUAGUUCUCAAUUUACAACCACAACUGGGAAAAACAUUUCUGAUGCUAAGCACAGUGGUUGUUAAGUGAAUCGCGCCUAAUUUUGUUGGGAGAGCCGAGAAAGUCACAUAUAGCUGGGAAAGUCACAUAUGUGGCUCACAUGACCUUAGGAUCCUGCAACCCUUGUAAAUACAGGUUGCCAACUGCCUGAAUUUUGAUCACGUGAUCCUGGGGUUGUUGUGACGGUCAUUAGUGUGAGGACUCCCAAGUAAUUUUUUUCAGUGCCAUUGUAACUUUGAAUGGUUGCUAAAUGAAUGAUUGUAAUUCAAGGAUGGCCUCCAUAACGAAUUUCCUUUCUUGCCAUGGC
Molecule: long non-coding RNA, 766 nt
Organism: Pantherophis guttatus
Lineage: Eukaryota; Metazoa; Chordata; Lepidosauria; Squamata; Colubridae
Source: RefSeq, a predicted model, not a curated record